Molecule: ribosomal RNA, 339 nt
Filed under: Triticum aestivum (bread wheat)
Lineage: Eukaryota; Viridiplantae; Streptophyta; Magnoliopsida; Poales; Poaceae
Description: partial small subunit ribosomal RNA
Source: RNAcentral
AUGGUGCUCCUUGCGGCUGGUACGACCGCUGGUACCAUUGGGCGCAGUUGUAGCAAGCGUCAUAUUUUGCUCUGUUGCUCUUGUGGCGCCUCCAAUGGACUUGGCUUGGUUCCCAUAGUUGUCGUUUCCUUAUAUAUGAUGUUUUUCUUCCAUCUUUUAGCAUAUUUUUCGAGGAAACAUAUUGACAAAGGAUUUCACAAUUUCUUACAUUCAUUAGUCAUUACUACCAAUAACAAAGUUAUUCUCUCGGAAAUUUCAAAAUUAUCCUAUUUAAACAAUGAUGUAAUAAGUGCAAAAAUAUCACUCAUCAAAAAUGUGAUUAUAUACAUAAAUUUUUGA